UAGGGAAUUUUCGGCAAUGGGGGGAACCCUGACCGAGCAACGCCGCGUGAGUGAUGAAGGCCUUCGGGUUGUAAAGCUCUGUUAUAAGCGAAGAAAGAAUAGGAUAGGGAAUGAUCCUAUUAUGACGGUACCUUAUCAGAAAGCCACGGCUAACUACGUGCCAGCAGCCGCGGUAAUACGUAGGUGGCAAGCGUUAUCCGGAAUUAUUGGGCGUAAAGGGUGCGUAGGCGGUCAAUUAAGUUUGUAGUGAAAGUUCGAGGCUCAACCUCGGAUAGCUAUAAAAACUGAUUGGCUAGAGUGCAGGAGAGGACAGUGGAAUUCCAUGUGUAGCGGUAAAAUGCGUAGAUAUAUGGAGGAACACCAGUGGCGAAGGCGGCUGUCUGGCCUGUAACUGACGCUGAAGCACGAAAGCGUGGGGAGCAAAUA
This 426-nucleotide ribosomal RNA is filed under the name uncultured bacterium. RNAcentral's name for it is "partial 16S ribosomal RNA". It matches the Rfam family "Bacterial small subunit ribosomal RNA", at positions 355 to 774 of the family's 1533-position model. The record is from RNAcentral.